AGACUUUGAUUAUGGCUCAGGACGAACGCUGGCGGCGUGCUUAACACAUGCAAGUCGAACGGUCUACCUCGACAGAAACCUUCGGGUUGAAGACGAGAUCUAGAUAGUGGCGGACGGGUGAGUAACACGUGAAUAAUCUAUCCUCAAGUUUGGGAUAACCUGGCGAAAGUCGGGCUAAUCCGAGGUAAGCUGAGAGUGUGGCAUCACACAAUCAGAAAAGGUGGCAUUGCCAUCGUUUGAGGAGGAGUUCGCGGUAGAUUAGCUAGCUGGUGAGGUAACGGCUCACCAGGGCAACAAUCUAUAGCUGGUCUGAGAGGACGAUCAGUCACACUGGAACUGAGACACGGUCCAGACUCCUACGGGAGGCAGCAGUGGGGAAUCUUCCACAAUGGGCGCAAGCCUGAUGGAGCAACGCCGCGUGAAUGAAGAAGGCCUUAGGGUCGUAAAGUUCUGUCCUUAGGGAAGAACCGUGGGUAUAGCAAAUGAUACCCACCCUGACGGUACCUUUGGAGGAAGCACUGGCUAACUACGUGCCAGCAGCCGCGGUAAUACGUAGAGUGC
This 561-nucleotide ribosomal RNA is filed under the name uncultured bacterium. RNAcentral's name for it is "bacterial SSU rRNA". It matches the Rfam family "Bacterial small subunit ribosomal RNA", at positions 8 to 535 of the family's 1533-position model. The record is from RNAcentral.